GCGGUGGUAGUUGAGUGGCACAACCUUAGCCUUCCAAGCUAAUGACGCCGGUUCAAUUCCGACCCACCGUUCCA
RNAcentral lists this transfer RNA (74 nucleotides) under Yersinia sp. 2105 StPb PI. RNAcentral describes it as "tRNA-Gly". It matches the Rfam family "tRNA". Rfam says of the family: Transfer RNA (tRNA) molecules are approximately 80 nucleotides in length. Their secondary structure includes four short double-helical elements and three loops (D, anti-codon, and T loops). Lineage: Bacteria; Pseudomonadati; Pseudomonadota; Gammaproteobacteria; Enterobacterales; Yersiniaceae. The record is from RNAcentral.